UACGUAGGCAGCAAGCGUUGUUCGGAAUUACUGGGCGUAAAGAGUGUGUAGGCGGUGCUCCAAGUCUGGUGUGAAAUCUCCCGGCCUAACUGGGAGGGGUCGUCCGAGACUGGCCGGCUUGAGGCUGGCAGAGGUAGGUGGAAUUCCUGGUGUAGUGGUGAAAUGCGUAGAGAUCAGGAGGAACACCGGUGGCGAAGGCGGCCUACUGGGCCAGCACUGACGCUGAGGCGCGAAAGCUCGGGGAGCGAACGGG
This 253-nucleotide ribosomal RNA is filed under the name uncultured bacterium. Its description in RNAcentral is "partial 16S ribosomal RNA". It matches the Rfam family "Bacterial small subunit ribosomal RNA", at positions 524 to 776 of the family's 1533-position model. The record is from RNAcentral.